AUUGUAUAAUUUGUCAUGUAGAAAUCUCAUUUUCUUUUUUUUUCUGAGACAGGGUCUCACUCUGUCAACCAGGCUGGAGUGCAGUGGUGCAAUCUCGGCUCACUGCAACCUCCAGCUCCCAGGCUCAAGGGAUCCUCUUGCCUCGGCCUCCUGAGUACCUGGGAUUACAGAUUCACUUUCUACCUAUUCUUGGAUGACUCCCCAAACAAUAUUAUCUACAGCCCAGAUGUUUCUAAGCUCCAGGCCCCACCGCACACCAGGCAUCUCUACUUGAUUGUCCACAUCCUUCUGGCUUGCUGUGUUUCAGACUGAACUUCCUCCUAUUCUUCUCAGAGAAGGGCUCUACCAUCUGCUGAAUUGCUCAAAUUUGAUUCCCUUCCCCGCAUCCAGCAGUUGCUCUUUCUUGUCCAUUCUGUUUCUUGUCUCUUGAAUCCACCCCCAUCACAUGGUCCCACCUGCCUCUCCCCUAGGCCAGGCCCGUGCCACCUUUUCCCCAGACUCUUCCUGCAGCUUUACUCCGCCAAUCAACUGAAUGGCUUAUUUUUAUUCUUGUGGUAAAAUACACGUAACAUAAAACUUACCAUCUUAACCCUCCAAUUCAUUUUUGACAUUACUCCUGGAGUGACUUUUCAAAGCAUAAAUUUAGUUAUGUCUCAUCUUCCCAAACGUCUUUGGAAGUUCCCAUCACCUGUAGAAUAAAAUCCCUAACCUGACGUAUGAGCUUUCCUAAUUUCCCUGGACUAAUUUUCUCAUUAUAUCACACCCUGCUGUUGCACCCUGCACUCUCAGCAUCUUUG
Molecule: long non-coding RNA, 797 nt
Filed under: Homo sapiens (human)
Lineage: Eukaryota; Metazoa; Chordata; Mammalia; Primates; Hominidae
Description: PREDICTED lncRNA (TCONS_00068100)
Source: RNAcentral